This is a non-coding RNA of Pristionchus pacificus, 72 nucleotides long. Lineage: Eukaryota; Metazoa; Nematoda; Chromadorea; Rhabditida; Neodiplogasteridae. The record is from Rfam.
GGUCCCGUAGUGUAGCGGUUAGCACUUUAGACUUUGAAUCUAGCAGCGGGAGUUCGAUUCUCCCCGGGACCU